UACGAAGGGGGCUAGCGUUGUUCGGAAUCACUGGGCGUAAAGGGCGCGUAGGCGGCCGAUCAAGUCGGGGGUGAAAGCCUGUGGCUCAACCACAGAAUUGCCUUCGAUACUGGUUGGCUUGAGACCGGAAGAGGUAAGUGGAACUGCGAGUGUAGAGGUGAAAUUCGUAGAUAUUCGCAAGAACACCGAUAGCGAAGGCAGCUUACUGGGCUGUAACUGACGCUGAGGCACGAAAGUGUGGGGAUCAAACAGG
RNAcentral lists this ribosomal RNA (253 nucleotides) under uncultured bacterium. RNAcentral describes it as "partial 16S ribosomal RNA". It matches the Rfam family "Bacterial small subunit ribosomal RNA", at positions 524 to 776 of the family's 1533-position model. The record is from RNAcentral.